Molecule: ribosomal RNA, 431 nt
Filed under: uncultured bacterium
Lineage: Bacteria
Description: partial 16S ribosomal RNA
Rfam family: Bacterial small subunit ribosomal RNA
Source: RNAcentral
AACGAACGCUGGCGGCAGGCUUAACACAUGCAAGUCGAACGCCCCGCAAGGGGAGUGGCAGACGGGUGAGUAACGCGUGGGAAUCUACCCAUCCCUACGGAAUAACGCAUGGAAACGUGUGCUAAUACCGUAUACGCCCUACGGGGGAAAGAUUUAUCGGGGAUGGAUGAGCCCGCGUUGGAUUAGCUAGUUGGUGGGGUAAAGGCCUACCAAGGCGACGAUCCAUAGCUGGUCUGAGAGGAUGAUCAGCCACAUUGGGACUGAGACACGGCCCAAACUCCUAAGGGAGGCAGCAGUGGGGAAUAUUGGACAAUGGGCGCAAGCCUGAUCCAGCCAUGCCGCGUGAGUGAUGAAGGCCUUAGGGUUGUAAAGCUCUUUCACCGGAGAAGAUAAUGACGGUAUCCGGAGAAGAAGCCCCGGCUAACUUCGUG